AUGAGAGCACAGACUGACCCGUGGUUCUCUAAAUACCUCUUGAGAAUUGGCAAUGGAAUGGAGGAGACGAUCGGUGAUGAUUAUGUGCGUCUGCCUGAUGACAUUGUGAUUGGUUACACACCUGGUGACGCACCCGUCAUGAAGCUUAUUGAACAUGUGUUCCCAUCUCUUCAUGAGAACGCUUCAUCCGGUGCCUACAUGAGCACACAUGCUAUUAUUUCUACCAAGAAUGAGCACGUGGACGACCUAAAUGCAAAGAUGAUUGACAGGUUCCCCGGCCAAGAUAAGGUAUACUAUAGCUUUGAUUCCGUCGAUGAUGAUACACGCAAUAACUACCCAAUUGACUAUUUGAACAACCUCACUCCGAAUGGCUUGCCUCCCCAUAUUUUAAAAGUAAAAGUCAACUGUCCUGUCAUUCUGCUCUGGAAUCUUGAUCCUAAUAACGGACUUUGCAAUGGAACGAGAUUGAUGAUUAGAGCUUUCCAAAAUAACGCAAUCGACGCCGAGAUUGUUGGUGGACAACUGCUGGAAAGAGAGUGUUCAUCCUUAGGAUCCCGAUAG
This 561-nucleotide ribosomal RNA is filed under the name Triticum aestivum (bread wheat). RNAcentral's name for it is "partial small subunit ribosomal RNA". The record is from RNAcentral. Lineage: Eukaryota; Viridiplantae; Streptophyta; Magnoliopsida; Poales; Poaceae.